Molecule: ribosomal RNA, 500 nt
Filed under: uncultured bacterium
Lineage: Bacteria
Description: partial 16S ribosomal RNA
Rfam family: Bacterial small subunit ribosomal RNA
Source: RNAcentral
AUUGAACGCCGGCGGAAUGCUUUACACAUGCAAGUCGAACGGUAGCACGGACUUCGGUCUGGUGGCGAGAGGCGAACGGGUGAGUAAUACAUCGGAACGUGCCCAGUCGUGGGGGAUAACGUAGCGAAAGCUACGCUAAUACCGCAUACGAUCUAAGGAUGAAAGCGGGGGAUCGCAAGACCUCGCGCGAUUGGAGCGGCCGAUGGCAGAUUAGGUAGUUGGUAGGGUAAAGGCCUACCAAGCCGACGAUCUGUAGCUGGUCUGAGAGGAUGAUCAGCCACACUGGGACUGAGACACGGCCCAGACUCCUACGGGAGGCAGCAGUGGGGAAUUUUGGACAAUGGGCGCAAGCCUGAUCCAGCCAUUCCGCGUGCAGGAUGAAGGCCUUCGGGUUGUAAACUGCUUUUGUACAGAACGAAAAGGCUCUGGUUAAUACCCGGGGCUCAUGACGGUACUGUAAGAAUAAGCACCGGCUAACUACGUGCCAGCCGCCGCCGUAA